GCCCACCCUGUUGACAUGCCUCUCAUUCUCUUUGAACAGGAAACGUGUUACUCCUAACAACCUACCAGCCUACACCUCCCAAAACCAAGUGCGUGAGUGCUUGUACUUCCCCAUGACUGAGCACCAUUGUGAAGGGAUGCCAGAGAGCAUAGCUGAGCUCCAGACAACAGGAGAAGAGCAUCUGUCAGCCUCUGCUGCCUAGCUGCGUUCUCCCAUUUGCCCAUAGGAGCCUGCUUCAGUCAAAGCACCAGGACUGUGGUGGAUGGAAAGGAAAAUUGAAUUCCAGAAUGAGGGAUCUCCACUGAUUGUACCUCUUCCCAGGCUCUGGACAUUCCAACCCAGAUACCUGCAACCAAGAAACUUCACAGCUGAUUUUGACAAUUCAGCAGAGUGAUGGACUCUCUCAGGAAUGUGCCAUCUAAGAUCUGAAGAGCAAGUGGUGAAAAACUCUUAAUAAGUGUUGAACUGGUUAACUUCUGUAAGUCCUUUCUAUCCAUUUGCUUUACAACACUGAUACAUGUUUGUAAGUAGAUGUUACCUGGCAUCCUCCCUGCACCAUUCACUGCAGAGUAAUAACAGUAAGGAUAUGAAACUUUCUUCUACAUUCCUAUUUAAAUACACUAUAAUAAGCUACAAGGGCAAACAUAAAUGUUUAUUGCUGCAGUCUGCAGCUCAUUCAUCCAAAUUUCAUUAUUUUUAUUAUCUUUUUUGUAGUAGUUGGGUGUAAUGGUUGUAAAAGCAGCACAUUUUAAGGCAAGGGAAUUGUCUAUAAAUUCUCAUUUACUUCUACCUAUUUUAUUUCUGAUGAAAGGUCCUGACUGACAAAAUGGCGUGUAAUCUGUUUGGUCUAGAUGAAUGCUGCUUUACAGCUAAUAUUUUGAGAGGUUUUUGUGAACUCUGAGUCAAUAUGAAUGUCAGCAUGGGAAAUAUAUUUAAUCUUUCUGCACAGCUGUUUUUAUCAACCUUCUCAAGCAUUAAUAAACAGCUGAUAAAGCUCUCAGUGGAA
Molecule: long non-coding RNA, 1006 nt
Organism: Oxyura jamaicensis (ruddy duck)
Lineage: Eukaryota; Metazoa; Chordata; Aves; Anseriformes; Anatidae
Exons: 3
Source: RefSeq, a predicted model, not a curated record